GAUGAACGCUAGCGGCAGGCCUAAUACAUGCAAGUCGAGGGGUAGAGCUAGCUUGCUAGCUUGAGACCGGCGCACGGGUGCGUAACGCGUAUGCAACCUACCCUUUUCUGGGGGAUAGCCCGGAGAAAUCCGGAUUAAUACCGCAUAAGACCGCGAUACGGCAUCGUGAUGUGGUCAAACAUUUAUGGGAGAAGGAUGGGCAUGCGUGCCAUUAGCUAGUUGGCGGGGUAACGGCCCACCAAGGCGACGAUGGCUAGGGGAUCUGAGAGGAUGGCCCCCCACACUGGUACUGAGACACGGACCAGACUCCUACGGGAGGCAGCAGUAAGGAAUAUUGGUCAAUGGGGGCAACCCUGAACCAGCCAUGCCGCGUGCAGGACGACGGCCCUCCGGGUUGUAAACUGCUUUUGUACGGGAAUAAACCCCGCUACGUGUAGCGGGCUGAGUGUACCGUAAGAAUAAGGAUCGGCUAACUCCGUGCCAGCAGCCGCCGUAA
This 496-nucleotide ribosomal RNA is filed under the name uncultured bacterium. RNAcentral describes it as "partial 16S ribosomal RNA". It matches the Rfam family "Bacterial small subunit ribosomal RNA", at positions 28 to 523 of the family's 1533-position model. The record is from RNAcentral.